CAGCCGCCGCGGGAACACGAACCGUGCGAACGUUAUUCGGAAUCACUGGGCGUAAAGCGUGCGUAGGUGGUGGUUUAAGUCCGUUGUGAAAGCCCUGGGCUCAACCUGGGAAUUGCAGUGAAUACUGGGUCACUAGAGUGUGGUAGAGGAUAGUGGAAUUUCCGGUGUAGCGGUGAAAUGCGUAGAGAUCGGAAGGAACAUCUGUGGCGAAGGCGACUAUCUGGGCCAACACUGACACUGAGGCACGAAAGCGUGGGGAGCAAACAGGAUUAGAUACCCGGGUAGUCCCUGUCUCUUAUAC
Molecule: ribosomal RNA, 301 nt
Filed under: uncultured bacterium
Lineage: Bacteria
Description: partial 16S ribosomal RNA
Rfam family: Bacterial small subunit ribosomal RNA
Source: RNAcentral